This 337-nucleotide ribosomal RNA is filed under the name uncultured Pseudomonadota bacterium. Its description in RNAcentral is "bacterial SSU rRNA". It matches the Rfam family "Bacterial small subunit ribosomal RNA", at positions 29 to 351 of the family's 1533-position model. Lineage: Bacteria; Pseudomonadati; Pseudomonadota. The record is from RNAcentral.
AACGAACGCUGGCGGCGUGCUUAACACAUGCAAGUCGAACGCGAAAGGGACUUCGGUCCUGAGUAAAGUGGCGCACGGGUGAGUAACGCGUGGAUAAUCUGCCCAAUGGUCCGGGAUAACAUUUCGAAAGGGGUGCUAAUACCGGAUAAGACCACGAGAUCUUUGGAUCUUGCGGUAAAAGGUGGGGACCUUCGGGCCUACCGCAAUUGGAUGAGUCCGCGUACCAUUAGCUAGUUGGUAGGGUAAAGGCCUACCAAGGCAACGAUGGUUAGCUGGUCUGAGAGGAUGAUCAGCCACACUGGAACUGAGACACGGUCCAGACUCCUACGGGUGGCAG